Molecule: ribosomal RNA, 547 nt
Filed under: Klebsiella pneumoniae
Lineage: Bacteria; Pseudomonadati; Pseudomonadota; Gammaproteobacteria; Enterobacterales; Enterobacteriaceae
Description: bacterial SSU rRNA
Rfam family: Bacterial small subunit ribosomal RNA
Source: RNAcentral
CAUGCAAGUCGAGCGGUAGCACAGAGAGCUUGCUCUCGGGUGACGAGCGGCGGACGGGUGAGUAAUGUCUGGGAAACUGCCUGAUGGAGGGGGAUAACUACUGGAAACGGUAGCUAAUACCGCAUAACGUCGCAAGACCAAAGUGGGGGACCUUCGGGCCUCAUGCCAUCAGAUGUGCCCAGAUGGGAUUAGCUAGUAGGUGGGGUAACGGCUCACCUAGGCGACGAUCCCUAGCUGGUCUGAGAGGAUGACCAGCCACACUGGAACUGAGACACGGUCCAGACUCCUACGGGAGGCAGCAGUGGGGAAUAUUGCACAAUGGGCGCAAGCCUGAUGCAGCCAUGCCGCGUGUGUGAAGAAGGCCUUCGGGUUGUAAAGCACUUUCAGCGGGGAGGAAGGCGUUAAGGUUAAUAACCUUGGCGAUUGACGUUACCCGCAGAAGAAGCACCGGCUAACUCCGUGCCAGCAGCCGCGGUAAUACGGAGGGUGCAAGCGUUAAUCGGAAUUACUGGGCGUAAAGCGCACGCAGGCGGUCUGUCAAGUCGGA